UACGGAGGGUGCAAGCGUUAUCCGGAUUCACUGGGUUUAAAGGGUGCGUAGGUGGGUUGGUAAGUCAGUGGUGAAAUCUCCGAGCUUAACUUGGAAACCGCCAUUGAUACUAUCAGUCUUGAAUACCGUGGAGGUCAGCGGAAUAUGUCAUGUAGCGGUGAAAUGCUUAGAUAUGACAUAGAACACCAAUUGCGAAGGCAGCUGGCUACACGAAUAUUGACACUCAGGCUCGAAAGCGUGGGGAUCAAACAGG
Molecule: ribosomal RNA, 253 nt
Filed under: uncultured bacterium
Lineage: Bacteria
Description: partial 16S ribosomal RNA
Rfam family: Bacterial small subunit ribosomal RNA
Source: RNAcentral